RNAcentral lists this transfer-messenger RNA (359 nucleotides) under Thermomicrobiales. RNAcentral describes it as "UBA6265 sp020432165 Standard tmRNA". It matches the Rfam family "transfer-messenger RNA". Rfam says of the family: Bacterial tmRNA, also known as 10Sa RNA or SsrA, is named for its dual tRNA and mRNA-like properties. Its role is to liberate the mRNA from a stalled ribosome. RNAcentral also lists the same sequence under 1 other name. Lineage: Bacteria; Pseudomonadati; Thermomicrobiota; Thermomicrobia. The record is from RNAcentral.
GGGGAUGUCCGGUUUCGACAGGGUCGAACGCCAGGUCAUUGCACGCCGAAGCGCCCGAGGCUUCGUAAAAACGGGCAAAACAAUAGUUGACAACAAUCAACUUGCUUACGCUGCCUAAGUCACUGACCUCUAGGUAGCGCGUCCCACGAUUCUCUCUCCGUCGGAAUCGGUUCGGGGCGCCACCAAGACGGGGUGCUGCGAUUCAGACCGCUGAUUCGAGAUCGCUCAAGCCAAUUCAGCAACCUGCUACGAGAGCCGGUCGAUGGGCGCUCCAGGCAGGUACAAAACAUCGACUAAGCGUGUAGUAGAUGGCCGGUUGACGGUUCUGGACGGGGGUUCGAUUCCCCCCAUCUCCACCA